This 56-nucleotide small nuclear RNA is filed under the name Cervus elaphus hippelaphus. The record is from RNAcentral. Lineage: Eukaryota; Metazoa; Chordata; Mammalia; Artiodactyla; Cervidae.
UUCACUUUACUUUAUACAAGGAUGACACACAAAUUCAUAAAGCAUUCCAUAUUUUU